UACGUAGGGUGCAAGCGUUAAUCGGAAUUACUGGGCGUAAAGCGUGCGCAGGCGGCUUUGCAAGACAGAUGUGAAAUCCCCGGGCUCAACCUGGGAACUGCAUUUGUGACUGCAUGGCUAGAGUACGGUAGAGGGGGAUGGAAUUCCGCGUGUAGCAGUGAAAUGCGUAGAUAUGCGGAGGAACACCGAUGGCGAAGGCAAUCCCCUGGACCUGUACUGACGCUCAUGCACGAAAGCGUGGGGAGCAAACAGGAUUAGAAACCCCCGUAGUCC
This 273-nucleotide ribosomal RNA is filed under the name uncultured Rhizobacter sp. RNAcentral describes it as "partial 16S ribosomal RNA". It matches the Rfam family "Bacterial small subunit ribosomal RNA", at positions 524 to 796 of the family's 1533-position model. Lineage: Bacteria; Pseudomonadati; Pseudomonadota; Betaproteobacteria; Burkholderiales; Sphaerotilaceae. The record is from RNAcentral.